UCAGGAUGAACGCUGGCGGCGUGCCUAAUACAUGCAAGUCGAACGAGUUCUCGUUGAUGAUCGGUGCUUGCACCGAGAUUCAACAUGGAACGAGUGGCGGACGGGUGAGUAACACGUGGGUAACCUGCCCUUAAGUGGGGGAUAACAUUUGGAAACAGAUGCUAAUACCGCAUAGAUCCAAGAACCGCAUGGUUCUUGGCUGAAAGAUGGCGUAAGCUAUCGCUUUUGGAUGGACCCGCGGCGUAUUAGCUAGUUGGUGAGGUAAUGGCUCACCAAGGCGAUGAUACGUAGCCGAACUGAGAGGUUGAUCGGCCACAUUGGGACUGAGACACGGCCCAAACUCCUACGGGAGGCAGCAGUAGGGAAUCUUCCACAAUGGACGCAAGUCUGAUGGAGCAACGCCGCGUGAGUGAAGAAGGCUUUCGGGUCGUAAAACUCUGUUGUUGGAGAAGAAUGGUCGGCAGAGUAACUGUUGUCGGCGUGACGGUAUCCAACCAGAAAGCCACGGCUAACUACGUGCCAGCAGCCGCGGUAAUACGUAGGUGGCAAGCGUUAUCCGGAUUUAUUGGGCGUAAAGCGAGCGCAGGCGGUUUUUUAAGUCUGAUGUGAAAGCCCUCGGCUUAACCGAGGAAGCGCAUCGGAAACUGGGAAACUUGAGUGCAGAAGAGGACAGUGGAACUCCAUGUGUAGCGGUGAAAUGCGUAGAUAUAUGGAAGAACACCAGUGGCGAAGGCGGCUGUCUGGUCUGUAACUGACGCUGAGGCUCGAAAGCAUGGGUAGCGAACAGGAUUAGAUACCCUGGUAGUCCAUGCCGUAAACGAUGAAUGCUAGGUGUUGGAGGGUUUCCGCCCUUCAGUGCCGCAGCUAACGCAUUAAGCAUUCCGCCUGGGGAGUACGACCGCAAGGUUGAAACUCAAAGGAAUUGACGGGGGCCCGCACAAGCGGUGGAGCAUGUGGUUUAAUUCGAAGCAACGCGAAGAACCUUACCAGGUCUUGACAUCUUUUGAUCACCUGAGAGAUCAGGUUUCCCCUUCGGGGGCAAAAUGACAGGUGGUGCAUGGUUGUCGUCAGCUCGUGUCGUGAGAUGUUGGGUUAAGUCCCGCAACGAGCGCAACCCUUAUGACUAGUUGCCAGCAUUUAGUUGGGCACUCUAGUAAGACUGCCGGUGACAAACCGGAGGAAGGUGGGGAUGACGUCAAAUCAUCAUGCCCCUUAUGACCUGGGCUACACACGUGCUACAAUGGAUGGUACAACGAGUUGCGAGACCGCGAGGUCAAGCUAAUCUCUUAAAGCCAUUCUCAGUUCGGACUGUAGGCUGCAACUCGCCUACACGAAGUCGGAAUCGCUAGUAAUCGCGGAUCAGCACGCCGCGGUGAAUACGUUCCCGGGCCUUGUACACACCGCCCGUCACACCAUGAGAGUUUGUAACACCCGAAGCCGGUGGCGUAACCCUUUUAGGGAGCGAGCCGUCUAAGGUGGGACAAAUGAUUAGGGUGAAGUCGUAACAGGUAAACCCG
Molecule: ribosomal RNA, 1517 nt
Filed under: Lacticaseibacillus casei
Lineage: Bacteria; Bacillati; Bacillota; Bacilli; Lactobacillales; Lactobacillaceae
Description: bacterial SSU rRNA
Rfam family: Bacterial small subunit ribosomal RNA
Source: RNAcentral